This 211-nucleotide ribosomal RNA is filed under the name uncultured Lactobacillus sp. RNAcentral's name for it is "partial 16S ribosomal RNA". It matches the Rfam family "Bacterial small subunit ribosomal RNA", at positions 152 to 354 of the family's 1533-position model. Lineage: Bacteria; Bacillati; Bacillota; Bacilli; Lactobacillales; Lactobacillaceae. The record is from RNAcentral.
GGAAACAAGAUGCUAAUACCGGAUAAUAACAGAUGAUGCCUAUCAACUGUUUAAAAGAUGGUUCUGCUAUCACUCUUGGAUGGACCUGCGGUGCAUUAGCUAGUUGGUAGGGUAACGGCCUACCAAGGCGAUGAUGCAUAGCCGAGUUGAGAGACUGAUCGGCCACAUUGGGACUGAGACACGGCCCAAACUCCUACGGGAGGCAGCAGGG